CGCGUGAACAACCUACCUUCAAAUGGGGGAUACACCUCUAACGGGGUGCUAAUACCGCAUGUAGUGUUAACAAUUCCUGUUGAUAGCACUAAAGAUGGCCUCUUAUAUAAGCUGUCGUUUGAAGAGGGGUUCGCGUCCCUAUUAGUUAGUUGGUGAGGUAAUGGCUCACCAAGGCGGCGAUGGGUAGCCGGUCUGAGAGGAUGGUCGGUCACACUGGGACUGAGAUACGGCCCAGACUCCUACGGGAGGCAGCAGUCUAGGAGCUUGUACUAAUGCGCGAAAGCGUGAUACAGCGACGCCGCGUGAGUGAUGAAGCCCUUCGGGGUGUAAAGCUCUGUUCUAUGGGAAGAAAAGGGAUUUGUGAAUAGCAGGUUCUGUUGACGGUACCAUAGGAGGAAGUCACGGCUAACUCCGUGCCAGCAAGCCGCGGUAAUACGGAGGUGGCGAACGUUGUUCGGAAUCACUGGGUGUAAAGGGUGUGUAGGCGGGCUAGUAAGUCAGAUGUGAAAUCUUGCGGCUCAACCGUAAGCGUGCAUUUGAAACUGUUAGUCUUGAGUACAGAAGAGGAAGGUAGAAUUCUUGGUGUAGCGGUGGAAUGCGUAGAUAUCAAGAAGAAUACCGGUGGCGAAGGCGACCUUCUGGUCUGAUACUGACGCUAAGGCACGAAAGUGUGGGGAGCGAACAGGAUUAGAUACCCUGGUAGUCCAACACUGUAAACGAUGGGGUACUGGGUGUUGGGGAAGUACUGACCCUUCCAGUGCCGCAGUUAACGCAUUAAGUACCCCACCUGGGGAGUACGGUCGCAAGGCUGAAACUCAAAGGAAUUGACGGGGCCCCGCACAAGCGGUGGAGCAUGUGGUUUAAUUCGAUGCAACACGAAGAACCUUACCAGGGCUUGACAUAUACACGAAUGAUAUAGAGAUAUAUCAGCCUUUCGGGGCGUGUAUACAGGUGUUGCAUGGCUGUCGUCAGCUCGUGUCGUGAGAUGUUGGGUUAAGUCCCGUAACGAGCGCAACCCUUGUCCUUAGUUGCCAUCAGGUAAAGCUGGGGACUCUAAGGAGACUGCCGAGGUAGAAACUUGGAGGAAGGUGGGGAUGACGUCAAGUCAUCACGGCCCUUACGUCCUGGGCUACACACGUGCUACAAUGGUCGGUACAAAGGGUAGCGAGACUGUGAAGNUGGAGCUAAUCCCAAAAAGCCGCCUCAGUUCGGAUUGGAGUCUGCACUGACUCCAUGAAGUUGGAUCGCUAGAAUCGCUGAUCAGCAGGCAGCGGGAUACGUUCCCGGG
RNAcentral lists this ribosomal RNA (1288 nucleotides) under uncultured organism. Its description in RNAcentral is "partial 16S ribosomal RNA". It matches the Rfam family "Bacterial small subunit ribosomal RNA", at positions 114 to 1378 of the family's 1533-position model. The record is from RNAcentral.